GUGAGGCAUGCUGGAGGUAUCAGAAGUGCGAAUGCUGACAUAAGUAACGAUAAAGCGGGUGAAAAGCCCGCUCGCCGGAAGACCAAGGGUUCCUGUCCAACGUUAAUCGGGGCAGGGUGAGUCGACCCCUAAGGCGAGGCCGAAAGGCGUAGUCGAUGGGAAACGGGUUAAUAUUCCCGUACUUGGUGUUACUGCGAAGGGGGGACGGAGAAGGCUAUGUUGGCCGGGCGACGGUUGUCCCGGUUUAAGCGUGUAGGUGUGUGUUCCAGGUAAAUCCGGUUCACUUUAACACUGAGGCGUGAUGACGAGGCACUACGGUGCUGAAGCAACAAAUGCCCUGCUUCCAGGAAAAGCCUCUAAGCAUCAGGUAACAUCAAAUCGUACCCCAAACCGACACAGGUGGUCAGGUAGAGAAUACCAAGGCGCUUGAGAGAACUCGGGUGAAGGAACUAGGCAAAAUGGUGCCGUAACUUCGGGAGAAGGCACGCUGACAC
Molecule: ribosomal RNA, 494 nt
Filed under: Salmonella enterica
Lineage: Bacteria; Pseudomonadati; Pseudomonadota; Gammaproteobacteria; Enterobacterales; Enterobacteriaceae
Also listed under: 1 other name
Description: partial 23S ribosomal RNA
Rfam family: Bacterial large subunit ribosomal RNA
Source: RNAcentral